Molecule: transfer RNA, 73 nt
Filed under: Heliconius melpomene (postman butterfly)
Lineage: Eukaryota; Metazoa; Arthropoda; Insecta; Lepidoptera; Nymphalidae
Description: tRNA HMEL015377
Source: RNAcentral
GCCCCCGUGACGAAGCGGUAUAGCGUUUGACUGUAAAUACAACGGUUGUGGGUUCGAUUCCCAUUCGAAGGAA